Molecule: ribosomal RNA, 436 nt
Filed under: uncultured bacterium
Lineage: Bacteria
Description: bacterial SSU rRNA
Rfam family: Bacterial small subunit ribosomal RNA
Source: RNAcentral
GACGAACGCUGGCGGCGUGCCUAACACAUGCAAGUCGAACGGAGAUGUUGAUUUCGGUUGACAUCUUAGUGGCGCACGGGUGAGUAACACGUGAAUAACCUGACCCAAAGAGGGGGAUAGCAUCUGGAAACAGGUGCUAAUACCGCAUAAGACCACAAUGCCGCAUGGCGAAGGGGUCAAAGAGGAUCGCUUUGGGAGGGGUUCGCGUCCCAUUAGGUAGUAGGCGGGUAAAGGCCCACCUAGCCGACGAUGGGUAGCCGAGCUGAGAGGCUGAUCGGCCACACUGGAACUGAGACACGGUCCAGACUCCUACGGGAGGCAGCAGUGGGGAAUAUUGGGCAAUGGGCGCAAGCCUGACCCAGCAACGCCGCGUGAGGGAAGAAGGUUUUCGGAUUGUGAACCUCUGUCGCAGAAGACGAAGGAAGUGACGGUAAUC